This 1450-nucleotide long non-coding RNA is filed under the name Salmo salar (Atlantic salmon). RNAcentral describes it as "lncRNA (ENSSSAG00000084329.1)". The record is from RNAcentral. Lineage: Eukaryota; Metazoa; Chordata; Actinopteri; Salmoniformes; Salmonidae.
CAGGCUGCCUACCCCUGCUGCUGGAGCCUUGGUGCUGGGAAGAGACAGGCUGCCUACCCCUGCUGCUGGAGCCUUGGUGCUGGGAAGAGACAGGCUGCCUACCCCUGCUGCUGGAGCCUUGGUGCUGGGAAGAGACAGGCUGCCUACCCCUGCUGCUGGAGUCUUGGUGCUGGGAAGAGACAGGCUGCCUACCCCUGCUGCUGGAGCCUUGGUGCUGGGAAGAGACAGGCUGCCUACCCCUGCUGCUGGAGCCUUGGUGCUGGGAAGAGACAGGCUGCCUACCCCUGCUGCUGGAGCCUUGGUGCUGGGAAGAGACAGGCUGCCUACCCCUGCUGCUGGAGCCUUGGUGCUGGGAAGAGACAGGCUGCCUACCCCUGCUGCAGGAGCCUUGGUGCUGGGAAGAGACAGGCUGCCUACCCCUGCUGCUGGAGCCUUGGUGCUGGGAAGAGACAGGCUGCCAUGUAGAUGUAGGCCUCAUGCAUGAGAGCCUGGUUUGCCCUGCUCUUGCCUGGACCCAGACGCUGGCUGGGAUGCUAAAAGGGACUGACCAGGGGAAAAACCUCCUCACAGGCCUGGAUCAUUAGAGGUGCUGGCUGUGCGUUGGAGGAGCACGGCAUGCCAAGGGUCUAGCAUGUUUUAAACUAGGAGCUGCCUUCUCCACAGCCGUCAGAUCACUCUGCUACUGCGGAUGCUCACUACAGGCAUUUCAUGGAUAUAAAUCUAUUUGUUGGUGUGUGUGCACUUUGACUCGGCAGGAUUAAAAUGUGCGUCUGUGAGAAACAGUCCCCUGUGAGUAGUUCCCGUUAAGCUUUCUAAAAAGAGUAAAAGUCACUUCUGAAAAUGACAUUUGUUCUGCUGCAUGUUUUAAGCCAGCUGUCGCAUAUGUUGAAACUAAUGUGACUAUGACGACGGCAGCACAUUCACAACAAUGGUGGAAUAGAGAGACACUGAAAUGACAAAUCAAUCAAUAGUUGGGUAGGACUUUCAUUCCUCUCGACUUUUGAUUCCUUUCCUUCAAUCGUUACCUCAUCCAAAAGGGUGUGCACUUUUUCCCCGGGUUAUUUUAUUGUUUGUAGGAAAGAAUAAAUCGUAGCUAUUGCUCACAAAAUAUAGGCCAUGAAGGAAGGGGUUAAAACAGCCUUUAGUGAAACUCCCACAUUCCAUACAGGCCUACAUGUUGUCUCUACCUGCUCGGGAGGCACCGUGGCUGUGUGUGUUGGGUGGGGGGGGCUUCUGUGGAUGGGUGCAUUUAGCACAAACGCUGUCUGUUUGCAUGUGUUGAUUGAAUGUCAAAGAGGACGGUGUGUUUUCUGUGUGUUGAUGAACAGUCAGACUACGUGUGUGUGUGUGUGUGUGUGUGGUCGCUCCUCUCUCACCAGGUUCUCCUGGUUGCGUGCGUUCACCCGGUCCUCCUCUCCACGCAUGUACUUCACCUCCUCCACUCCCUUCA